RNAcentral lists this ribosomal RNA (1101 nucleotides) under Triticum aestivum (bread wheat). RNAcentral's name for it is "partial small subunit ribosomal RNA". The record is from RNAcentral. Lineage: Eukaryota; Viridiplantae; Streptophyta; Magnoliopsida; Poales; Poaceae.
GCUAAGUGGGAUAUUAUCUGUCGACCCAAAGACCAAGGUGGGCUUGGUAUUGAGAAUCUAGAGGUUAAGAACAGAUGCCUUCUUAGUAAGUGGUUGUGGAAGCUCGCGUCCGGUACUGAAGCAAUGUGGGCGCAAAUCAUUCGCAGCAAGUACCUCCAGACUAGAACGUUAUCGCAGGUAUCAGUUAGGCCGACUGAUUCGCUUUUCUGGAAGGGACUAAUGAAAGUCAAAGUAUUACUGUUUAAUAGGACAAAAGUGGUCCUUGGAAAUGGUGCUACUACACGUUUCUGGGAGGAUUCUUGGCUGGGUGACUCGCCCUUGGCUAUGCAGUAUCCUUCUUUAUAUCGUAUUGCGCAACGACGAGAGGUGUUCGUGGCAACGGUAUUUCAAACUAUCCCCCUUAAUAUUCAGUUUAGACGGUCGCUAGUGGGCAAUCGUUGGGAGGUUUGGCUCCAGUUAGUAAGGAGACUAAUGGAGGUCCAACUCUCUGACCAACCUGAUGUAUUACGCUGGAAGUUGACCAAGAAUGGGGUAUUUACAGUGAGGUCAAUGUAUCUUGAUGUUAUUAACUCAAGUUCUAUUCCAACGUCCAAAAAGGUAUGGGAUGUUAAAGUUCCUUUGAAAAUAAAAGUGUUUAUGUGGUUUGUGCAUAAACAAGUCAUUCUCACAAAGGACAAUUUGAUAAAGCGUAAUUGGACAGGACCUACUAGGUGUAGUUUCUGUGAUCGAGAUGAGACAAUUAAACAUCUCUUUUUUGAUUGCCCGCUAGCUAAGGUUCUAUGGCAGACGGUGCAUAUUGCCUUUAAUAUUACUCCACCCACCACGGUUACCGCUUUAUUUGGGACUUGGCUUAAUGGGAUUGAUUCUGCAUUAGCAAGGCAUAUUCGGGUGGGAGUUUGUGCGUUGAUGUGGACCAUCUGGUUGUGCAGAAAUGAUUUAGUUUUUAACAGAACACCACGAAUUCAUUUUUUGCAGGUUCUAUUCCGAGCUACGGCUUUGAUCCGUUUGUGGUCGUCACUCACUCCGAUGGAGGCCAGGGAGUAUUUGGUUACUGGGUCUACCCGAUGGGAGAUGGCUGCUCGGGUUAUCUUCAACCGGUUU